GACGAAGGGGGCUAGCGUUGUUCGGAAUUACUGGGCGUAAAGCGCGUGUAGGCGGUUGUCCAAGUUGGAUGUGAAAGCCUUGAGCUUAGCUCAAGAAAUGCAUUCAGGACUGGAUGACUAGAGGACCGGAGAGGAUAGUGGAAUUCCCAGUGUAGUGGUGAAAUACGUAGAGAUUGGGAAGAACACCAGUGGCGAAGGCGGCUAUCUGGCCCGUUACCGACGCUCAGGCGCGACAGCGUGGGGAGCAAACAGG
This 253-nucleotide ribosomal RNA is filed under the name uncultured bacterium. RNAcentral describes it as "partial 16S ribosomal RNA". It matches the Rfam family "Bacterial small subunit ribosomal RNA", at positions 524 to 776 of the family's 1533-position model. The record is from RNAcentral.